This is a non-coding RNA of Caenorhabditis elegans, 114 nucleotides long. NCBI's taxonomy places the organism in Eukaryota, Metazoa, Nematoda, Chromadorea, Rhabditida, Rhabditidae. The record is from Ensembl.
UUCUCAUCAGUGCAUGUUGCCUUUCAUUAAAGAGAGAAUGAAGAAUAAAAGAGGAGAGCAUCUCGUAAAACAUCGAAUGCUACCAUACGGGGACCAUCAUUAACGAGCUCUUCG